Molecule: ribosomal RNA, 460 nt
Filed under: uncultured bacterium
Lineage: Bacteria
Description: partial 16S ribosomal RNA
Rfam family: Bacterial small subunit ribosomal RNA
Source: RNAcentral
CCUACGGGUGGCAGCAGUGAGGAAUAUUGGUCAAUGGGCGAGAGCCUGAACCAGCCAAGUCGCGUGAAGGAUGAAGGAUCUAUGCAUUGUAAACUUCUUUUAUAUGGGAAUAAAGUGAGGAACGUGUUCCUUUUUGUAUGUACCAUAUGAAUAAGCAUCGGCUAACUCCGUGCCAGCAGCCGCGGUAAUACGGAGGAUGCGAGCGUUAUCCGGAUUUAUUGGGUUUAAAGGGUGCGUAGGUGGUUUAUUAAGUCAGCGGUGAAAGUUUGUGGCUCAACCCUGAAAUUGCCGUUGAAACUGGUUGACUUGAGUUGAUGUGAGGUAGGCGGAAUGCGUGGUGUAGCGGUGAAAUGCAUAGAUAUCACGCAGAACUCCGAUUGCGAAGGCAGCUUACUAACCUAUAACUGACGCUGAAGCACGAAAGCGUGGGGAUCGAACAGGAUUAGAUACCCGGGUAGUC